This 277-nucleotide ribosomal RNA is filed under the name uncultured bacterium. RNAcentral's name for it is "partial 16S ribosomal RNA". It matches the Rfam family "Bacterial small subunit ribosomal RNA", at positions 333 to 607 of the family's 1533-position model. The record is from RNAcentral.
UGCGGCCUACGGGGCGCAGCAGUGAGGAAUAUUGGUCAAUGGGCGGGAGCCUGAACCAGCCAAGCCGCGUGAAGGAAGAAGGCGCCAGGCGUCGUAAACUUCUUUUGUCGGGGAACAAAGGGCGCCACGUGUGGCGUUGUGAGUGUACCCGAAGAAAAAGCAUCGGCUAACUCCGUGCCAGCAGCCGCGGUACUACGGAGGAUGCGAGCGUUAUCCGGAUUUAUUGGGUUUAAAGGGUGCGUAGGCGGUCCGGAAAGUCAGCGGUAAAAGCGCGGGG